This 432-nucleotide ribosomal RNA is filed under the name uncultured bacterium. RNAcentral's name for it is "partial 16S ribosomal RNA". It matches the Rfam family "Bacterial small subunit ribosomal RNA", at positions 29 to 507 of the family's 1533-position model. The record is from RNAcentral.
AACGAACGCUGGCGGCAGGCCUAACACAUGCAAGUCGAGCGGACCCUUCGGGGUUAGCGGCGGACGGGUGAGUAACGCGUGGGAAUAUGCCCUUCUCUACGGAAUAGUCCUGGGAAACUGGGGUAACUCCGUAUAAGCCCUUUUGGGGGAAGAAUUUUCGGGGAAGGAUUUGGCCGGCUUGGAUUAGGUUGGUGGGGGGGUAAUGGCCUACCAAGGCGACGGUCCAUAGCUGGUUUGAGAGGAUGGUCAGCCACACUGGGAUUGAGACACGGCCCAGACUCCUACGGGAGGCAGCAGUGGGGAAUCUUAGACAAUGGGGGCAAACCUGAUCUAGCCAUGCCGCGUGAGUGAUGAAGGCCUUAGGGUUGUAAAGCUCUUUCAGCUGGGAAGAUAAUGACGGUACCAGCAGAAGAAGCCCCGGCUAACUCCGUG